This 161-nucleotide ribosomal RNA is filed under the name uncultured bacterium. RNAcentral describes it as "partial 16S ribosomal RNA". It matches the Rfam family "Bacterial small subunit ribosomal RNA", at positions 335 to 512 of the family's 1533-position model. The record is from RNAcentral.
ACUCUUACGGGAGGCAGCAGUGGGGAAUAUUACACAAUGGGCGAAAGCCUGAUCUAGCAAUGCCGCAUGAAUGAUGAAGGUCUUAGGAUCGUACAAAUUCUUUUAUAGGGGAAGAUAAUGACGUACCCUAGAUAAGAAGCCCCGGCUAACUUCGUGCCAGC